ACCUGGUUGGCUCAGUCAGUGGAGCAUGUGACUCUUGAUCUCCGAGGUUGUGAGUUCAAGCCUCAUGUUGGGUG
RNAcentral lists this transfer RNA (74 nucleotides) under Canis lupus familiaris (dog). It matches the Rfam family "tRNA". Rfam says of the family: Transfer RNA (tRNA) molecules are approximately 80 nucleotides in length. Lineage: Eukaryota; Metazoa; Chordata; Mammalia; Carnivora; Canidae. The record is from Rfam by way of RNAcentral. RNAcentral also lists the same sequence under 1 other name.